CGAGCGGACAGAAGGGAGCUUGCUCCCGGAUGUUAGCGGCGGACGGGUGAGUAACACGUGGGUAACCUGCCUGUAAGACUGGGAUAACUCCGGGAAACCGGAGCUAAUACCGGAUAGUUCCUUGAACCGCAUGGUUCAAGGAUGAAAGACGGUUUCGGCUGUCACUUACAGAUGGACCCGCGGCGCAUUAGCUAGUUGGUGAGGUAACGGCUCACCAAGGCGACGAUGCGUAGCCGACCUGAGAGGGUGAUCGGCCACACUGGGACUGAGACACGGCCCAGACUCCUACGGGAGGCAGCAGUAGGGAAUCUUCCGCAAUGGACGAAAGUCUGACGGAGCAACGCCGCGUGAGUGAUGAAGGUUUUCGGAUCGUAAAGCUCUGUUGUUAGGGAAGAACAAGUGCAAGAGUAACUGCUUGCACCUUGACGGUACCUAACCAGAAAGCCACGGCUAACUACGUGCCAGCAGCCGCGGUAAUACGUAGGUGGCAAGCGUUGUCCGGAAUUAUUGGGCGUAAAGGGCUCGCAGGCGGUUUCUUAAGUCUGAUGUGAAAGCCCCCGGCUCAACCGGGGAGGGUCAUUGGAAACUGGGAAACUUGAGUGCAGAAGAGGAGAGUGGAAUUCCACGUGUAGCGGUGAAAUGCGUAGAGAUGUGGAGGAACACCAGUGGCGAAGGCGACUCUCUGGUCUGUAACUGACGCUGAGGAGCGAAAGCGUGGGGAGCGAACAGGAUUAGAUACCCUGGUAGUCCACGCCGUAAACGAUGAGUGCUAAGUGUUAGGGGGGUUUCCGCCCCUUAGUGCUGCAGCUAACGCAUUAAGCACUCCGCCUGGGGAGUACGGUCGCAAGACUGAAACUCAAAGGAAUUG
This 868-nucleotide ribosomal RNA is filed under the name Bacillus aerophilus. RNAcentral describes it as "bacterial SSU rRNA". It matches the Rfam family "Bacterial small subunit ribosomal RNA", at positions 63 to 912 of the family's 1533-position model. The record is from RNAcentral. Lineage: Bacteria; Bacillati; Bacillota; Bacilli; Caryophanales; Bacillaceae.